RNAcentral lists this non-coding RNA (29 nucleotides) under Rattus norvegicus (Norway rat). Lineage: Eukaryota; Metazoa; Chordata; Mammalia; Rodentia; Muridae. The record is from RNAcentral.
UAACAUGUACUCCAAAGUCGCGUAGGUUC